This is a non-coding RNA of Petromyzon marinus (sea lamprey), 4220 nucleotides long. NCBI's taxonomy places the organism in Eukaryota, Metazoa, Chordata, Hyperoartia, Petromyzontiformes, Petromyzontidae. The record is from RefSeq and is a predicted model, not a curated record.
AAGGUGUCAGUUUUUGUGCCAGCUAAAAGGGUAAAAACCUAUUACUAUAUCUUGUUCCUAGCAAAGGAGGUCUCAUACUGUGCAGAUGUGUGAAUCAUCCGCUGGGUAUCUAUCUGCCAAAUUGGUCAUUGGUGUUGGGGUAACAUGACACCAAAUAUUAAUGACAGGUUUAUAUUUGUGUUUGUUCAGUAAAUUGUGAUUGUGCUGAUACCACUGAAGUUGCUCCACAUGAGCAUAUCAUUUUAAUUCGAGUGGGGAGAUUGGGAUUCCAAGCCAGGAUCUCGGUGGUGUUGUCACAAUACUUCAAAUGGGCAUAUCGUCAUCCCCCAUCUCCCACGAGUUUUUCAAACUGUAAUCUCCCUUGAGCAGCUCACAUAUAGGCAUGAAUGGAGCAACAGUGGAAACGAAAGUGACGACAAACAUUCUCGCUGACUUUUAGGAUUUAAACUGCAUAUCUAUGACGACCACACUGGGAUGGGGGCCACUUUUUUCUGUAACUGUCGGUGACUGAUAACGUUAGGGGUGAUGGCCCCUUUAUCAAAGAAAACCACUGAAUAAAUUGUAUAUCUUGAAAAGUUAUAUGCCAGUGUUUAAUGACCACCAUGGUGAGAGGUGUUUUUUUUUCAUUAGGAAUGUGGCUACUUGUUUAUUUUUGCAUAAAGGGGACUUGAGUGGUUAAUGUUCAAAGUUUAUAUUGCAUUAUUAUGUAUCUUGGGUAGCACAUAAACACUCCAUACAGGGCCUCCUCUACUUGCGAAUAUUCGACUUACGAACUUUCAGAGAUACGAACAAACCUGUCCGUAUGUCCAGUUGCCGGUUCGGACUGAAAGUCGUACAUUCAACCACAGCGCAAUAGAUGGCGGUGGUUAUUUUGUGUCAUUACCCAGGAUUCCCAGCUUUUCUGCCUGGGCCACCACCAUGGUAUGUUGGUGAGUUAGAAGAACCAGUGGCAUCUACAUUUACAGAACAUGAAUCAGUAGCAUCUACAAUGUGCAGAACAUAUAGCACCAGUCGCAUCUACAUUUUUCUGAACAGUAAUCAGUGGCAUCUACAUGUGCAUAACAUAAAUAACCAGUGGCAUCUACAGUAGAUUAUACAACUUUUAAAGCCAUUCCGUGUGUCUAGUGUACAUGCCGUACAACAUGAACGGAAUCGACAGGAAUAAUCGACAGUUGGACUUACGAACAAAUCGACUUACAAACAGACCUCUGGAACCUAACUCGUUCGUAAGUAGAGGAGUGCCUGUGCUAAAAACAAACUGUUGACCAAACUAAAAAGGUGAGUGUAUCCCUGUCGACUGAAAAAUAGGCCAGCAUACAUCACCUGUGGCAAACCUAAACCAGUGGUGGAAAUUGUACAUUACCAUGGAGGGGGCCAUUCUUUCAAGGCAGCAUUUCAACGCCGCUACAUUAGCUCUCUUUCCAGAGUGUUUCCACUCAUUUAAUUUGAUCCUUGAAGAAUGAUAGAUUGAUUCAACUACCAACUGGGAUUUAAACCCACAACUUCCCAACUGUCAGUUCAGCGCCUUAAUCACACAGCACGUACAUGGGUCAAUAACUCAAUAUAUUUGGUGCAAGAGAGACAUUUUUUUCUGAACCUGGCAAAAGUGAACACGUUUCAGCUGACAAGGUCAUUUGUACUUAAUUAAAAUGAAAGUAUAUUUUCCUUUGGAAUUUAUUUUGAUAAUAAAACGUAACAAAAUGUGUUUCAAAUAUUUUGCAGCACUGCCCACCUGAAAAAAAAAGGAAAAACAUCCAAAACCCAUUUCCUUGCAUUUUCACUUUGCAUUAAUUUCAAAGAACUCCAUUGUAUAACUUCCAGAUUUUUUUUUUAUCUUAAAGGAGUAAAUGUGCAAUGAGUGUGCUGCUUAUUGCUGGAUCCCCAGAGUGUUUAUUCACGUGCUUGCACGGUGCACUUUGGCACAGUGACCACUCGGGCAACAGCGUAGCACACAAAAUGGCACUCAGUUUGGCGGAAUGAUUUUGAGUAAUGGGGGAUUAGAUUACCCACAGAAAUUGCAGGUGGUUUCUCAUCGCCGUACCUGCAGCCCAUGGCGUCUUAUUCCUGCCGAGAGUGUUAGCGGAAUAUUUAUGCUACUGCAUUUACAAGCAGUCGCGGGGCCACAGGCUUAGCAUCUCAUCGACACAGCAGGACACCUGAUGAGUAUGUGGUGCCACGGCCGCGGAGCAACUCCACAAGCACCGCGACUCCCCCCCCUGGCCCCACCCUGAGCACACACACACACGCAGGGCACACACGUAGUGUCCCGGCGGGGGAUCGCCUGGCACCACGGGUUUUCAUUGGAAGGGCCCCUGUGGGGGAAGUCCCGCGAUUUCCUGGUGCCAGGAGAUUGGCCGACCCCCACAGGACAAGUCCCAUUGCGGUACCCCAAAAGUGACUUAAAAUUGUAUGGUUCACCAGGCCAGCCACAGUGAGUCAUGCACGACAUCGGGGAGGGGUGCUGGGGUGAAAUAUUAAGCAAGCAGAGCAGACAAUGAGGUCAGGGGAUCCCAGCACCACAGACAGAAUGCACACGGGCAGGGUGUGUAUUCGCCAGCCGGACGUCCUUCCAGAUUAAACAGGCUGAGUCAGGGAUUAAUGAGUACGGGGGCACAGACAAUAGAUUGAAACGUAACCGGCUGGACGCUCCAUGUAAGGCAAGAGAAACGUUUGUAAUUCACAGGUAGGUGCAUGAUUGACUGCGCAGGAUAACGUAACCCUAUACUUUUUUAAAUCAAGGGGCAUUAAAAAGGGAGCCAAAAACGGUUCAGAGAGAUCUCAUCUUCAACAGUCUGGUCGCCAAGACCACCCCCCCCCCUGCCGGCCUGCCUCUUCGAGCCGCUCGCAGCAUCCGUGUGAUGCCAGCGAGUGCUGCUACGAGGCAGUGAUAGGCAAGGUUUUUUCGUCAUCCUCCCUCCGAUUCUCACAGCAUCCGUGCGACGCCGGGAGUACAGCUGCGAGUCUGUUCAGAAAGGUACGCGAGGCUCGUGCAAGUGCUUCGUGUACUGGGCUCCUCUCUGAUUCGUGCACCACAGAGCACAUGACGUGCCGUGACUUCAGCCAAAUAGCUGCAUUCUUGCAACGCUCAAGAUUCCCGAAGAAUGACCUCGUACGAGAAGAUUGCACAGAAAGACAUUGACAUGAAUCCUGUGUUAGGAGCGGAGUCAACGGAGUACCACCACCUCCUCCAUGACGCCUGCCUCCUGACGACCGAGCAGACCCUGCUCGGAUAUGAGCAGCUGUGCAGCUGCUGCUGCUGUCUGUGCCUGUGCGGGCCUCAGUUAUCUGGGGUCGACCAGUUCCUACAGUCGGGUUCUGGGAGGCGGCGGCUGUCAAAGACAUCUGCCUCGAGAUGGAGGCGGCCAUGAAGCCACCUCAUCGACGGAGAUGCAGGGGAAGGACAACAAACUCCGACCAAUGCGGCGCCGCCAGCCCCCAAUAUUGUUUUAUUUGCUUUCCAUGGACUCUAUCCUAACAAUUGUGAACUGAUCUUAUUUUUACACAUAAAGGUAAAGGCGCAGCCCUGUUCAUUUGUUUGUUCACGCUGUUGCUGGAGGAACGGCCUCCACUAGCGGAAGCUCUAGAGACCCCCCUAUAGGAAUAUAAGUGUCCUCUUUCAAGCCUGCCAGACAUUUUGGAACAGGUUGGAGUAGCCACCACUUGAUCCCACCACACGUGACGACCUGCUGAUCAACUAACUGUAGCAUUCAUAUUUAUGCUGCCAGGUGGACAGCAUGGUGGGUAAGGGGGUUAAUAAACGCGCUCAUUGUUUCAACUGUAACAGCACUAGAACGGAAUGGUGACCCCCGGAUGACCAGUCCAGUGUGCUCACAAUUGCAUCAUUGCAACGUCCCGUUAUUUAUUAAAGAAAAUACCCUCCCCUCGGACACCAGCCCAUACACACAUUCUGCAUCUUAGAAUUCACCACUGGUCAUGCGCAGUUGAACUUUCCUUCUGUUAAUCUGUGAUUGCGUGAGGAACCUGAUUCAGAACUGAGCCUUUGCUUAAAUAUGUGUUCCACUUCCAUUGUGUUCUCAAUAAGGAGCCAUUUGUUUGUAAUAAGCUCCGUAGCGUAAACACUGCUAUUGAUGGUCUGGGGUCGAUAUCCAACACUCACAUAGACAGCCACGAUUUUGUGUUUAAUAUUAUUUCUUCAUGAUAUUGAAGAAUAACACUGCUGGAGAUAAGCGUAUUAAUAAAUGUUUACGAUGGGAGACUGA